GACGAACGCUGGCGGCGUGCUUAACACAUGCAAGUCGAACGGAAAGACCCUGCUUUUGUGGGGUGCUCGAGUGGCGAACGGGUGAGUAACACGUGAGUAACCUGCCCUUGACUUUGGGAUAACUUCAGGAAACUGGGGCUAAUACCGGAUAGGAGCUCCUGCUGCAUGGUGGGGGUUGGAAAGUUUCGGCGGUUGGGGAUGGACUCGCGGCUUAUCAGCUUGUUGGUGGGGUAGUGGCUUACCAAGGCUUUGACGGGUAGCCGGCCUGAGAGGGCGACCGGCCACAUUGGGACUGAGAUACGGCCCAGACUCCUACGGGAGGCAGCAGUGGGGAAUAUUGCACAAUGGGCGGAAGCCUGAUGCAGCAACGCCGCGUGCGGGAUGACGGCCUUCGGGUUGUAAACCGCUUUCGCCUGUGACGAAGCGUGAGUGACGGUAAUGGGUAAAGAAGCACCGGCUAACUACGUG
Molecule: ribosomal RNA, 468 nt
Filed under: uncultured bacterium
Lineage: Bacteria
Description: partial 16S ribosomal RNA
Rfam family: Bacterial small subunit ribosomal RNA
Source: RNAcentral